Molecule: unclassified non-coding RNA, 214 nt
Filed under: Hevea brasiliensis (rubber tree)
Lineage: Eukaryota; Viridiplantae; Streptophyta; Magnoliopsida; Malpighiales; Euphorbiaceae
Source: RNAcentral
AUAUAUUGGAUUAUAUCUAGAGGAGACUGAAAUUGACUAACUAAUAUAUUUAGUUGAUAUAAUAUGAGUUUUCUUGGGUGUAAUUGGGUUUAUGAGUAAUAUAGCUUGAAGUUUGUAUUGAUAAUUUAUUAUUGUUGAUAGUGGAAUAUGGCAUGCUCAUGAAUGUAACCCUAUAUUGAGAUAGUGAACUACGUAAAUAUUAGUGUUUUGUAUA